GAACUGCGAUAAGUAAUGUGAAUUGCAGAAUUCAGCGAAUCAUCGAGUCUUUGAACGCACAUUGCGCCCCCUGGCAUUCCGGGGGGCAUGCCUGUCCGAGCGUCAUUGCUGCCCUUCAAGCCCGGCUUGUGUGUUGGGUCGUCGUCCCCUCCGGGGGACGGGCCCGAAAGGCAGCGGCGGCACCGCGUCCGGUCCUCGAGCGUAUGGGGCUUUGUCACCCGCUCGAUAAGGACCGGCCGGGCGCCAGCCGGCGUCUCCAACCUUUUUUUCUCAGGUUGACCUCGGAUCAGGUAGGGAUACCCGCUGAACUUAAGC
RNAcentral lists this unclassified non-coding RNA (315 nucleotides) under plant metagenome. RNAcentral's name for it is "partial contains 5.8S ribosomal RNA, internal transcribed spacer 2, and large subunit ribosomal RNA". The stretch from base 1 to 105 matches the Rfam family "5.8S ribosomal RNA", at positions 50 to 154 of the family's 154-position model. The record is from RNAcentral.